UUUGACCUCAAAUCAGGUAGGACUACCCGCUGAAC
This 35-nucleotide ribosomal RNA is filed under the name Candida albicans. RNAcentral's name for it is "partial 28S ribosomal RNA". The record is from RNAcentral. Lineage: Eukaryota; Fungi; Ascomycota; Pichiomycetes; Serinales; Debaryomycetaceae. RNAcentral also lists the same sequence under 4 other names.